Molecule: transfer RNA, 65 nt
Filed under: Neotoma lepida (desert woodrat)
Lineage: Eukaryota; Metazoa; Chordata; Mammalia; Rodentia; Cricetidae
Rfam family: tRNA
About the family: Transfer RNA (tRNA) molecules are approximately 80 nucleotides in length. Their secondary structure includes four short double-helical elements and three loops (D, anti-codon, and T loops). Further hydrogen bonds mediate the characteristic L-shaped molecular structure. tRNAs have two regions of fundamental functional importance: the anti-codon, which is responsible for specific mRNA codon recognition, and the 3' end, to which the tRNAs corresponding amino acid is attached (by aminoacyl-tRNA synthetases). tRNAs cope with the degeneracy of the genetic code in two manners: having more than one tRNA (with a specific anti-codon) for a particular amino acid; and 'wobble' base-pairing, i.e. permitting non-standard base-pairing at the 3rd anti-codon position.
Source: Rfam by way of RNAcentral
GUGUGGCUCAGUGGGUAGAGUGCUGGCCCNAGCAUAUCAGAGGCCCUGGGUUCGAUUCCCAGCAC